GAUCAUGGCUCAGGAUGAACGCUAGCUACAGGCUUAACACAUGCAAGUCGAGGGGCAGCAUGGUCUUAGCUUGCUAAGGCCGAUGGCGACCGGCGCACGGGUGAGUAACACGUAUCCAACCUGCCGUCUACUCUUGGACGAGCCUUCUGAAAGGAAGAUUAAUACAAGAUGGCAAAUCAUGAGUUCACAUGUUCACAUGAUUAAAGGUAUUCCGGUAGACGAUGGGGA
This 228-nucleotide ribosomal RNA is filed under the name uncultured bacterium. RNAcentral describes it as "partial 16S ribosomal RNA". It matches the Rfam family "Bacterial small subunit ribosomal RNA", at positions 15 to 231 of the family's 1533-position model. The record is from RNAcentral.